Molecule: long non-coding RNA, 586 nt
Organism: Nicotiana attenuata
Lineage: Eukaryota; Viridiplantae; Streptophyta; Magnoliopsida; Solanales; Solanaceae
Exons: 2
Source: RefSeq, a predicted model, not a curated record
AGUAACUACUCUCUUUUCACUCUGCAACUUCUCAUCAAUUCAGUUUUCUCACAAAGUCCGACCAACUGCCAAUCUCAAAAUUCAAUCAGAUAAGUUCACCAAAAGAUAGACUUUGUUGUGCAUCAGAAUCAGCAAGCAAACAGAGCCAGGAAGAACACGAGGAUCGCUUGAAAAAUGUAUUAAAGACGCUGGAGGAAAAUCAAUUGUUUACCAAGUUCUUGAAGCAUGAAUUUUGGCUAGACUCAGUGGCAUUCCUUGGCAAUAUUGUAACUACGGAUGUGAUUACAGUAGAUUCUAAUGGGAUAGAAGCGGUUCAAAAGUGGCAAGAAUCAACUGCUUCUAUGGAGAUUCACAACUUCUUGGCUAAGGAGGCUACUACAAGUAAUUUCUGUAUAAUUUCUCAAUUUGUCCAUAGUAGUGCAGCCAUUUACCAAGUUAACAUAGAAAAAAAAGGAUAAUUCAAAGUUUCAGUGGAUGAAGAAAUGUGAGUAGAGCUUUUAGAAUCUCAAGAAAUGUUUGACCACUAUUGGUAUUAGCUUUACCAUCAAGUUUUAGUGAAUUCACGAUAUUAUGUAAUGUUUCAAAA